AGGGCACCUCGUUCGGUGAGGCGUCUUCACGGACACAGGCCACUGACCCCACGACGUCGAGAGACGCCCAGGGUCAGGACAGGUCUCCCCGGCCUAAGGGGUGACCCCAAGUGGCUACCCCGCCAAGGGGGUUACGCCGUGGAGUGCCAAAGCUCUGACGAGUUGGGGUGAGCC
Streptomyces sp. 769 is the source of this 174-nucleotide non-coding RNA. Lineage: Bacteria; Bacillati; Actinomycetota; Actinomycetes; Kitasatosporales; Streptomycetaceae. The record is from Rfam.